UGAAACCUGCGGAAGGAUCAUUG
RNAcentral lists this ribosomal RNA (23 nucleotides) under Dolichomitra cymbifolia. Its description in RNAcentral is "partial 18S ribosomal RNA". The record is from RNAcentral. Lineage: Eukaryota; Viridiplantae; Streptophyta; Bryopsida; Hypnales; Lembophyllaceae.